Molecule: long non-coding RNA, 2047 nt
Organism: Pygocentrus nattereri (red-bellied piranha)
Lineage: Eukaryota; Metazoa; Chordata; Actinopteri; Characiformes; Serrasalmidae
Source: Ensembl
GCCCUUUAUGACACCUUUGUAGAGGGGAGACCAGUAUGGUGUGCAGCCUGGGUGGAUGUUUAAACAAAAAGAAGAGGAAAGAGGGCUGGAACAAACAAAAGGGAGUAGCUGCUACAACAGUCAUGGAAAUGCUUGCGGGAAUCCGUGAGGAUAUCCGUGCCGUUAAGGAACGUUCUGGGCAGAAAGACGUGAAGACUGAUUCCUGUGCUGGUUUCAACAGUUGAGGCCCCAAACCUUCUUGACAAAUCCCUCAAAUCUCUGGAGGAAAGGCUGAAACUCAUCAAUGGCUUUUCCGAAGUGGGAGGAGUAUACAUGAAGGCCAAGGUGAAGAGGGACGUGGAGAAACAAGAGAGAAAAGUGGCGUUUUCAGCGUCGCUCUCAGCAGGUGAAGCUGGUCAUAUUGGACCAUACAGCACUUUAUUUCCUCUGGUCUACAGACACGUCUUCACCAACAUCGGCAAAGCUUACAACCCAGCUACAGUGGUUUGGAGAAUGUUGUCCUGAGAGAGAUAUCCAUCCACCACUAUCAUACGAAGGUAUGAUGAGAGGCUGUACAUCUGCAGUGUGUUGGCUGAGCGUUGUUCAGCAGUGUUUCUGGUGCAAGCUCCUAAAUCAAUCAAAAGCGAUAGCAGAAGUGGGGAAAACCCAAGAACCCCACAACCCGAACCAGGCAAGAAUACUUCCGGUUCCAUUAACAGAUGACCAUCUUGGUCUUGUGCGAGUUGGUGAGAUUUCUGCCUUUUGAAAUUGAUCACUGAUGAUACCUCCUGCUGAACACUCAGAUGGUCAACAUAAAUCCAAACUUUAUUUUCAGGACUUUCAUUCUGUUCAUGACAUACACACCAUUCCUAAUGUAGACAGAUCGAAUAAAGAUUGAAGUGCUGUCACUAACAAGACAAACAUUAUUUCCAGGACGAAACGCUUGUAUUCCGCACCCGGUAAGCGUAUCCGCAGGACCGGCAUGGUCUGGGCAUGCUAUUUCUGACUGCGACACGUGUGCCGUGUUACAUACUAAUUUUCCAAGUUUCAAUGUUGGUUCAUGCCAUAACGUAACCUAGCCAAAGACCACUCAGUGUUGUACACCUUGCCUGCUAACUUGUGACCAAACAUUAUAACGCCUUUUAAAAUUACCCUGAUGUGUUAAACUUUGUUACAUCAUUUCUAGGGGAAAUUCCCAAAGCAUUAUGUGGGAUUGUGAUGCAGCUUAAUCAGUUAAGUCAGUCAUACAGGCCAAAAUCGACUAAAUUUUGCAGCUAAUACGAUACAAGACAUGCAAUUGAGAGGUUUGCAAACGACACCGCUCACUCUUUAGGUAUUAUUUCUAGCACCCUUCAGUCUCAUAAAAUCACGAAUUACAAAAUACAUUUACAUUGGUUUGUUUUAUGUUUUGUCUCUGUUAUUGAUCCCACUGCAGAUCUCAAUGGGUAUAUUAGUGAUCUAAAGGAUCUAUGUAAUCGUGUUACCCAAAUGGGUCAAAACAGAGGAGAUUGGCUGAGUGUUUGGGUUUGUGGUGGCUGUACUGUUGUGAAAUGUUACUGAUCUUUGUCACAUUUUGUGGUGGUGUUCUGAUAAUCUAUUCCAUGAUGCAAUGUUGUUGCAUAUUCUUAGCUGUACAGAUACAUGUACAUAUAGCACAAACAGAUGUAGAACUUACCAUCAUAAAUGUAAUUGUCACCACAGAAAUCUCUUAAGUUACAAUGCCUAUACCUAAUGUCCAGACAGGUAUAUGAAUGAAUAACCCAUGUUGACCACACUUCUGUAUGGUCAAGCAGGGGGAGCGUUAAGUAUGAAUUUAUUUGAUUAACUUUUGUUGCCUCUUGCCAUUUGGGUUAAUGUCAUUUGUGUUUUGUAUGUCUUUUCUUGGGUGGUGUGUGGGGGGCUGUGGAGAGGUCCUUUUGUAAUGUAUUGACACCCAGUGUUAUCUAUACCUGCAAAUCUAGCAACAGGGGAGACUGUAAACUCCUGGGUGGAGCUUAACACCUACUUUAAUUCCAAAGGUAGAGCCAGCCAUCCAUUGAGACAGACUUGCUUGGUGUGUGUGCUUUUA